RNAcentral lists this ribosomal RNA (433 nucleotides) under uncultured bacterium. Its description in RNAcentral is "partial 16S ribosomal RNA". It matches the Rfam family "Bacterial small subunit ribosomal RNA", at positions 29 to 507 of the family's 1533-position model. The record is from RNAcentral.
AACGAACGCUGGCGGCAUGCCUAACACAUGCAAGUCGAACGAGACCUUCGGGUCUAGUGGCGCACGGGUGCGUAACGCGUGGGAACCUGCCCUUAGGUUCGGAAUAACUCCCCGAAAGGGGUGCUAAUACCGGAUAAUGUCUUCGGACCAAAGAUUUAUCGCCUUUGGAUGGGCCCGCGUUGGAUUAGCUAGUUGGUAGGGUAAAAGCCUACCAAGGCGACGAUCCAUAGCUGGUCUGAGAGGAUGAUCAGCCACACUGGGACUGAGACACGGCCCAGACUCCUACGGGAGGCAGCAGUGGGGAAUAUUGGACAAUGGGCGAAAGCCUGAUCCGGCAAUGCCGCGUGAGUGAUGAAGGCCUUAGGGUUGUAAAGCUCUUUUACCCGGGAUGAUAAUGACAGUACCGGGAGAAUAAGCCCCGGCUAACUCCGUG